Molecule: ribosomal RNA, 493 nt
Filed under: uncultured bacterium
Lineage: Bacteria
Description: partial 16S ribosomal RNA
Rfam family: Bacterial small subunit ribosomal RNA
Source: RNAcentral
AUUGAACGCUGGCGGCAUGCUUUACACAUGCAAGUCGAACGGUAACAGGUUAAGCUGACGAGUGGCGAACGGGUGAGUAAUGCAUCGGAACGUGCCCGAUCGUGGGGGAUAACGCAGCGAAAGCUGCGCUAAUACCGCAUCCGAUCUGAGGAUGAAAGCGGGGGACCGUAAGGCCUUGCGCGAUCGGAGCGGCCGAUGUCAGAUUAGGUAGUUGGUGGGGUAAAGGCCCACCAAGCCGACGAUCUGUAGCUGGUCUGAGAGGACGACCAGCCACACUGGGACUGAGACACGGCCCAGACUCCUACGGGAGGCAGCAGUGGGGAAUUUUGGACAAUGGGCGAAAGCCUGAUCCAGCAAUGCCGCGUGCAGGAAGAAGGCCUUCGGGUUGUAAACUGCUUUUGUACGGAGCGAAAAGGUCCUUUCUAAUACAAGGGGCUCAUGACGGUACCGUAAGAAUAAGCACCGGCUAACUACGUGCCAGCCGCCGCGGUAA